UACAGAGGGUGCGAGCGUUAAUCGGAUUUACUGGGCGUAAAGGGCGCGUAGGCGGUGAGAUGAGUGUGGUGUGAAAGCCCCGGGCUUAACCUGGGAAGCGCAUCGCAAACGAUCUGACUGGAGUAGAUGAGAGGGUGGCGGAAUUUCCGGUGUAGCGGUGAAAUGCGUAGAGAUCGGAAGGAACGUCAAUGGCGAAGGCAGCCACCUGGCAUCAUACUGAGCUGAGGCGCGAAAGCCAGGGGGAGCGAACAGG
RNAcentral lists this ribosomal RNA (253 nucleotides) under uncultured bacterium. Its description in RNAcentral is "partial 16S ribosomal RNA". It matches the Rfam family "Bacterial small subunit ribosomal RNA", at positions 524 to 776 of the family's 1533-position model. The record is from RNAcentral.